This 540-nucleotide ribosomal RNA is filed under the name Fusarium proliferatum. RNAcentral's name for it is "eukaryotic LSU rRNA". The stretch from base 169 to 322 matches the Rfam family "5.8S ribosomal RNA". The record is from RNAcentral. Lineage: Eukaryota; Fungi; Ascomycota; Sordariomycetes; Hypocreales; Nectriaceae.
GACCUGCGGAGGGAUCAUUACCGAGUUUACAACUCCCAAACCCCUGUGAACAUACCAAUUGUUGCCUCGGCGGAUCAGCCCGCUCCCGGUAAAACGGGACGGCCCGCCAGAGGACCCCUAAACUCUGUUUCUAUAUGUAACUUCUGAGUAAAACCAUAAAUAAAUCAAAACUUUCAACAACGGAUCUCUUGGUUCUGGCAUCGAUGAAGAACGCAGCAAAAUGCGAUAAGUAAUGUGAAUUGCAGAAUUCAGUGAAUCAUCGAAUCUUUGAACGCACAUUGCGCCCGCCAGUAUUCUGGCGGGCAUGCCUGUUCGAGCGUCAUUUCAACCCUCAAGCCCCCGGGUUUGGUGUUGGGGAUCGGCGAGCCCUUGCGGCAAGCCGGCCCCGAAAUCUAGUGGCGGUCUCGCUGCAGCUUCCAUUGCGUAGUAGUAAAACCCUCGCAACUGGUACGCGGCGCGGCCAAGCCGUUAAACCCCCAACUUCUGAAUGUUGACCUCGGAUCAGGUAGGAAUACCCGCUGAACUUAAGCAUAUCAAUAA